AUGGGGAUCGUGGAGGAGGCACACAACCUGCGGGUUGUCGGGGAGGGGAAGCGCGGAGUGAUCGUUCUUGCGCACGGCUUCGGCACGGACCAGUCGGUGUGGAAGCACCUGGUGCCGCACCUCGUCGCUGACUACCGCGUCGUCCUCUUCGACACCAUGGGCGCCGGGCCGACCAACCCAGACUACUUCGAUUUUUCCCGCUACGCCACGCUCGAGGGAUAUGCGCUCGAUCUGCUCGCCAUCCUGGAGGAGCUCGGGAUGGCCUCCUGCAUCUACGUCGGCCACUCCGUCUCCGCCGUAAUCGGCGUGCUCGCCUCCAUCUCCCGUCCCGACCUCUUCUCCAAGCUCGUACUCCUCUCCGCUUCUCCCAGGUACCUCAAUGAUGUGGAUUACUAUGGGGGAUUUGAGCAGGAGGAGCUUGAUGAGCUCUUUGAAGCGAUGAGAUCAAACUAUAAGGCCUGGUGCUCAGGUUUUGCACCACUCUGUGUUGGAGGGGACCUGGAAUCUGUGUCAGUUCAGGAGUUCAGCCGAACUCUCUUCAACAUUCGCCCAGACAUAGCCCUGAGCGUUGCCCAGACGAUCUUCCAGAGUGAUGUGCGCACCCUCCUACCGCUCGUCUCGGUCCCAUGCCAUAUCGUUCAGAGCACCAAGGACCUCGCAGUGCCAGUUGUGGUGUCAGAGUACUUGCACAAGCAUCUUGGUGGCGACUCCAUCGUUGAGGUGAUGCCCUCUGAGGGCCAUCUCCCCCAGCUUAGCUCACCGGACAUUGUCACCCCCGUAUUGCUCCGACACAUCCAGCAUGACAUUGCAUUCUAA
RNAcentral lists this ribosomal RNA (816 nucleotides) under Triticum aestivum (bread wheat). Its description in RNAcentral is "partial small subunit ribosomal RNA". The record is from RNAcentral. Lineage: Eukaryota; Viridiplantae; Streptophyta; Magnoliopsida; Poales; Poaceae.